Molecule: long non-coding RNA, 1924 nt
Organism: Equus caballus (horse)
Lineage: Eukaryota; Metazoa; Chordata; Mammalia; Perissodactyla; Equidae
Source: Ensembl
GGAAAAUUCCAGUUCGAUUAUUGUUAGCAGGGUCUUCCCUCUUCUAAGGGUGCCCAAGAGCCUGAAAGGCUCACUUUGGAUCCAGAAAACAAGGGAAUGAGCCUUUGAGCUCCUUGCUACUCAGAUGUGGCCUGAGGACAAGCAAUGUCAGAGUCCCUGAGGAGCUUCUUGGAAAUGCAGAAUGUCAGGGCCCACCUCAGGCCUACUGAAUCAGAAUCUGCAUUUUAUCAAGAUUCCCAGCACUACUCCCUCAAUCAACUCAGGCUUUCAACCAACAAAAGCCUGAAAGACGAGUUGUCUACGACUUCUGGUUUCAGCCUGCCUUCACCAACACCCCCUGAGGCGACAGAGCACAAAGGCAGGGCUCUCUGCUCUCCACCAGGGAUAGAGGACGGCGGGAUGGGGAGGGGAGAUAAGGGGAAAAGGAAACCUAGCAACAGAAAAUAACAUCUCAAUCCAUUAUCCUGCCGCACUUGUAAUUCUUUAACUCUUGCUCCCAAUUAUAUCUGGAUUUAAGAGUGCAAAACAAAGGCUCAUGCUGUAAUUUUAAUGGACUUGUUUUUAUAGGAAAAAAGUGAGUCUCAGAAUCCUAGAAAUGAUUUCUUCUAAGACUCACAGGAUUUAAUAAGCUCCUAGCUUAAGGAUUAAACAUUUUUUUUUAGCAUCAGCGUAACGUGACUCGCGCUCCCCUUCCAAGUGGAGAAUCCCAUUGUACAAAACAGAAAGGGAGCUGCUUUGGUUGUCAGGUUGGGGCACAGAACUCCUGCUGGAUGGUUUCCUCACUCCAUCCCUGUCGCAGUCCCUGCAGUGGCUCAAGCAGACCGGAAGGCUCAGUGGAGCAUGGGGUGAAGAACCAGCCUCAGCCCACCCUCCACCCCACACUGAAAGCCUCUUCGUGGCUUCCCUUCACCCACCUCUGAUCACUCCCUUCCUGAGAGAAGUCUCACAGGCAGCCGACCCAUCGCCCAGCACCACCCAGGACGGGAAAACACUUCCUAUAUGAUUGACGACCCCAAUGUGAUUCCCCGUCACUCACCCACAAGUCUCAGUUCUGCCUAAGAGACCACAAGGAACAGGUCUACGUCCUCUUUCACAUGAGUUACAGAGCAUAUCUCUCCCUGGAGCGUCUUUUCCAGAUGAAACAGGCACUUAAACCUAUGAUAAGUGGGUAAAUGAAUGAAUAAAUGAAGAAGCAAACAUAGGAAGGAGCAGAUUGGAGGUGGAAAAGGAAGGAAGAGAAAGAACAACUGAAUGAAACACUCUCGUCAUUCUCUUCUGCACACUCUCUAGCUUGAAAAUGGUUCUCUUAAAAAGUGACAUGUGUGAGAAAAUUGUAGCUUUUGGAACUGAACACAAUUCUCCAGAAAGACCUUAACCAAGUGUUUUUCCUACUGUUGGCGGUAACCCAUAGAAGUUCUUCCUGCAGCCUAGCAGAUCGCCUCGCACCCCUACUUUGGAGACCAUGACACCCAGAAGGAGCUCACCAUCACCGCACAGGAGGGAGCAGACAAAGCCUUUUGGGCCAGAACGAAAGUUCAGGUCUAAACAAGGAAUACCCCCCAGAGGGUAACACCUGGACUGUAUCGGCCCACCAGAGCAAAGCCACACCAAGUUCCUGCAAUCAGAUCCUCUUCCAAGGCUACCUCACGUUGAUGUGAGAGGAUCCUGGAGGGGAAAGAGGGAUGGAAUCAGGGCCCCAAAAUAAAUGUAGUUGACUUCUCUUCGUUGCCUCCAGCAAUACCUAAAAUUUUGUAGUGAUGUUAUUUGCUAAAAGUAAUAAUGCUAACCACUACUACUUAUCGAGCACUCGGAAUUCUAAGUUCUGCACAUGUGUUAUUUCACUUAGUUUUUGAAAUAAUACCAGGGGUAAAGCGUUAUUAUCCCACUUUACAUAUGGGGCACCUGAGACUCAGAGACAUUAAAU